AUUGAACGCUGGCGGCAGGCCUAACACAUGCAAGUCGAGCGAGCGGCGGACGGGUGAGUAAUGUAUGGGGACUGCUCGAUAGAGGGGGAUAAAUACGGGAAACGGUGCCUACUACCGCAUACUAUCGGAUAACCCAUAUGGGAUUAGCGAGUGGGUGGGGUAAAGGCACACCUAGGCGAAGAUCUUUAGCUGGCCUGAGAGGAUGAUCAGCCACAUGGCGACGAAGACACGGCCCCGACGCCUACGGAGGCAGCAGUGUGGAAGUUUUGACAAUGGGCGCAAGCCUGAUGCAGCCAUGCCGCGGGUAUGAAGAAGGCCUUAGGUUUGUAAAGUACUUUCAGCGGGGAGGCGUUACCAGCAGAAGAAGCACCGGCUAACUCCGUGCCAGCAGCCGCGGUAAUUC
Molecule: ribosomal RNA, 403 nt
Filed under: uncultured bacterium
Lineage: Bacteria
Description: partial 16S ribosomal RNA
Rfam family: Bacterial small subunit ribosomal RNA
Source: RNAcentral